ACUCAAAUGAAUUGACGGGGGCCCGCACAAGCGGCGGAGCAUGCGGAUUAAUUCGAUGCAACGCGAAGAACCUUACCUGGGUUUGACAUAUAGGGAAAUCUCGCAGAGAUGCGGGGUCCGUAAGGGUCCUAUACAGGUGGUGCAUGGCUGUCGUCAGCUCGUGUCGUGAGAUGUUGGGUUAAGUCCCGCAACGAGCGCAACCCUCGUCCUGUGUUGCCAGCACGCCUUUUUGGUGGUGGGGACUCAUAGGAGACUGCCGGGGUCAACUCGGAGGAAGGUGGGGAUGACGUCAAGUCAUCAUGCCCCUUAUGUCCAGGGCUUCACGCAUGCUACAAUGGCCGGUACAAAGGGCUGCGAAACUGUAAGGUGGAGCGAAUCCCAAAAAGCCGGUCUCAGUUCGGAUUGGGGUCUGCAACUCGACCCCAUGAAGUCGGAGUCGCUAGUAAUCGCAGAUCAGCAACGCUGCGGUGAAUACGUUCCCGGGCCUUGUACACACCGCCCGU
RNAcentral lists this ribosomal RNA (503 nucleotides) under uncultured bacterium. RNAcentral describes it as "partial 16S ribosomal RNA". It matches the Rfam family "Bacterial small subunit ribosomal RNA", at positions 899 to 1397 of the family's 1533-position model. The record is from RNAcentral.